This is a long non-coding RNA of Motacilla alba alba, 2695 nucleotides long. RefSeq lists it as uncharacterized. The record is from RefSeq and is a predicted model, not a curated record. NCBI's taxonomy places the organism in Eukaryota, Metazoa, Chordata, Aves, Passeriformes, Motacillidae. The transcript is spliced from 3 exons.
CUAAUACCAGAUUUUGAAUAUGUGAGGGUUCUGAUGAACACUGACUUUUGGGGUUUUUCUUUUCUAAAAUAACUUGCUUUUUACUGCAGGCAUAGCGCCAGCUACAGAAACUUGAGAAUACAAAAAGUGAAUGGACUCCUCAUUCUGUGCAGGUUUGCAGCAUACAGAGUAAUUUCUUCAAUACAAAAGAGCUUCCAACUCAGUCUGCAAGUUUAAGGUCCUAGAAGCAAUGAAACACAUGGACAGAUACCCCUUAAACAGAGCCUACCUGGAGAAAUUAAGUUUUCUUGGGUGGCUGCCCCACUCUGAUAAUUCAGUGGGACCAUUCCCAUUCAGUAUCAUCAUCUUUUGAGGAGGCUCAGGAAAAUACCAUUCUUGUAAUUACAGCAUAUCAGUCCCUGUGGUGAAGAGCAACAGAAGACCUACUUCCAGUAAGAAGAUUCAUCAAGAGAAGAGCGACCUGACUACUCUGUCCUGGGUUUCUCCAGAAGUGCUGUGAGGACUCAUGACAGAAAUUCCUCGGGUGCUUUGCAUUCCUGCAGGGCUCCUGGGUUUGUGUCUCUGGGGUUGCAUGGGCUGGAUGUAGUCUGCAAGCAGUGUUGGUGGCAGUUCUGGCUGGCAGAUGGGACAUCUGGGUCGUAUCAAAAAACUUAAGGUUGGACUCCUAGACAAAUGGUGAAUUCUUCCUUUUCUCUAAGAAUGCCCCCAGGGAGGAAAGAGAUACAUGUGGCACUGACUUUGUGGGAGCCAGCUGUUUAUCUCUCUGUGCAUCCAGUUCUCUUUUUAUUUCAAUGAAAUGUGAUCAGAGCAGAGACAGGAAGUUCAGCCGUGUCCUUGGGAGCGGGGAGAUCCCCAUGUGCUGCUCUUCCCUGUGCCAGGUACAGGAGAUUUCCUCUGUCUGCCUCCCAGCUUGCUGUGUUCUCCAGGGCUGCCGAACACCAGCGCCAGGAAAAUCCUGGGCUGUGCCACUUCUCAGUGCAACACAGGAGAGACUGAGUGAAAACCCGUGAUGGAACAUUUCUUCUCUCAUUUGAAGGACUUCAGUGAAAUUUGCAUCUAAAAAAGGGUAGCACAAAUCUCUUUGGAAAUCUGUCUCAAAGGCUGCGUCCCCAGCCCUGCUGCAGCUCCAGCCUGGUGGCAAAGCAAACUCAGCUGGUCUGGUCUGGUCUCAUUACACUGCAUGAGGCUUUGUAUGAAACUGUAAACAUCAAGGAAGGAUGGAUGGUAAACAUAAAAUGGACUGGUAUGCCAAAAUAGGAUAACUAGCGGUGUAGCAUCUGGUGGAUUUCAGAUUGGUGCUGGAUUAAAGUGCCUGGCAUGGUGGAUAAAGGAGCAGCAGCAGCAGAUGGAACAUGUCUUCAGUAAAUGGUUUGAUACUGCCUCACACUUUAUUCCCAUACACAAAACACUGUCACAGCAGCUGAUGUUAAUCAGUACGAGGCCUAUUGCUUGCAUUUUGUGGACUGCUCUGGUCUCUCCUCUCCCUGCCACCACCAAAAAAAGCUACAGUUGACCUGGUAAUGGGUUGAAGAAGGGCAAGAAGGAAGAGUAAAAGGUUCAGCAGUGUUUCUGCACAUGGAACGGAGAUCCAAGCUGCCCAGCUGGAAGGAGAUUACUCAAGCACUCUAGGACAGAGCCUGUCUCUCUCUUUGACCUGGAGAAGGUGACUGAGAGGUGAUUACCUCUGCCUCUCCUGCUGCAAGCAGCAAAGGUGUAGGGGACAGCAAUGAAGCUGAAGGAAGAAAUUUGUCUUGCUGAAUCAGGCAGCCUGCUGUGUACUGGAAGUUUAAAUGGAUUCAAAACAACACGAGAGAUGUAUGAGGGAAAUAGAUGGGCUGCUGGAGACAAGCACAACCCCUCCCUCUGGGAAGCCCUGAGCUGCAGAGAGCUGGGGGCUGUAGACCCUGCAGGGGCCACCUUGCCACGUACCUUGUGUCUGAUAAUCCUCUUUUCCUAAACAUAUGCUGUAGGUUGCUGCUGGAGACAGGAUCACAGGCUGGUCUCUCCCUUCACUUAACCUGCUUAUGUGAAAGCCUGAGGCUUAUUUCUGCUUCUCCACAGAAUGGUGAACUAAUACUUGAGAAAAAACCUCAGUUUUCCACCAAAUAAUGCACUUGUACCAUAAAAUGAAUAACAGUUUCCCUUUGGGAUAAUUACUUGAGUUUGUUUAGUGGCAAGUUUUGGCAGAGCUGUUUCCAAACUGAAGAUCCUGAAGAUUUGAUUUUGCUCCUAAGUCAGAAGCCAGGCUCUCUCCACCUGGCUUCACACUGGCCAGUUGACACUGAGCAAUGCUUUUAUUUGCAGAAAGCUGACAAGACAUGUGCAGGUCACUGCUGUGCCUUCUGAGAUGCAUGAGUGAGGAUUUGCACAGCAGCCUGGAAAGGACUGAGUGAGCAGGACCAUGGCUUGGGAGAGCCAAGGAUGGAGCCCAGACUGUCUGAGAAGGCUCUUGUCACUCACUGCAGGCUGUGGGCUGGGCUGGCUGCCACUCCCCUCGAGCUGCUCUCCCACGUCCUUUUCUAAAUCUGAUGCUUUCCUGGUGAUCUGCUUUGCUCUGGGCUAGCAGAGGGCAUUCCUCUUCCAUGGAGCAUUUCCCAGGUGUGAAAGGCUCCGCAGGGUUGGGCUGCACCGUGAUGCACACUGUGCCAGCCUGUGCCAGCACGGGCCCUGGGCUGCAAGGGGGGUGCACAGGCUG